This 450-nucleotide ribosomal RNA is filed under the name uncultured bacterium. Its description in RNAcentral is "partial 16S ribosomal RNA". It matches the Rfam family "Bacterial small subunit ribosomal RNA", at positions 354 to 796 of the family's 1533-position model. The record is from RNAcentral.
GUAGGGAAUCUUCCACAAUGGGCGCAAGCCUGAUGGAGCAACACCGCGUGAGUGAAGAAGGGUUUCGGCUCGUAAAGCUCUGUUGUUAAAGAAGAACACGUAUGAGAGUAACUGUUCAUACGUUGACGGUAUUUAACCAGAAAGUCACGGCUAACUACGUGCCAGCAGCCGCGGUAAUACGUAGGUGGCAAGUGUUAUCCGGAUUUAUUGGGCGUAAAGAGAGUGCAGGCGGUUUUCUAAGUCGGAUGUGAAAGCCUUCGGCUUAACCGGAGAAGUGCAUCGGAAACUGGAUAACUUGAGUGCAGAAGAGGGUAGUGGAACUCCAUGUGUAGCGGUGGAAUGCGUAGAUAUAUGGAAGAACACCAGUGGCGAAGGCGGCUACCUGGUCUGCAACUGACGCUGAGACUCGAAAGCAUGGGUAGCGAACAGGAUUAGAAACCCGUGUAGUCC